UGGACGCUGGACCACAGGGGAAGGCUACAGGAGACAGGCCACCCAUCAGAUGUUUCCUCUUUCCAAGUGUGGAGCUCAGAUGUGGAUUGAGGCCUUUUAGUACUGGAUAGAAGAAGUAUUAAGAGACUCCAGAAUGGAAAUUCUUCUCACUUCCACGUCCUUUUAAAAUUAUCUGCCUCAAGAUGGUUAUAAACCUCUAGUCCUCAAAAGUCAUUAGACAUUUGACUGACACGAAGCAGACCCUCUUGUCUUAGGGCAGAAGGUGCUGUGUUGACUCUCCCCGAGAAACGUGACACCGGCUGGAGGCCUGAGGAGCUAGCGCUCGGUCUUUGUGGCCUGGCCUUGUUCUUUGUGGUGAGUUAGGUUAUUCAGAGAUACCCUUUGGCUAAGAGCAUCUAAAAACUAUGAGGAAAAGAAAAAUGUUUCAUAAUCUUCACGAAAGCAUCAAAUUACUGAUCAAAUAAAAACAAAAAAAUCAGGCCAAAAGC
Molecule: long non-coding RNA, 488 nt
Filed under: Bos taurus (domestic cattle)
Lineage: Eukaryota; Metazoa; Chordata; Mammalia; Artiodactyla; Bovidae
Description: long non-coding RNA NONBTAT016634
Source: RNAcentral